Molecule: unclassified non-coding RNA, 328 nt
Filed under: soil metagenome
Description: partial contains 5.8S ribosomal RNA, internal transcribed spacer 2, and large subunit ribosomal RNA
Rfam family: 5.8S ribosomal RNA (bases 1-120)
Source: RNAcentral
GAUGAAGAACGCAGUGAAAUGCGAUAAGUAAUGUGAAUUGCAGAAUUCAGUGAAUCAUCGAAUCUUUGAACGCACAUUGCGCCCCCUGGUAUUCCGGGGGGCAUGCCUGUUCGAGCGUCAUUUCAACCCUCAAGCUCUGCUUGGUAUUGAGUCCAUGUCAGCAAUGACAGGCUCCAAAAUCAGUGGCGGCGCCGCUGGGUCCUGAACGUAGUAAUAUCUCUCGUUACAGGUGCUCGGCGUGCUUCUGCCAAAACCCCAAUUUUUCUAUGGUUGACCUCGGAUCAGGUAGGGAUACCCGCUGAACUUAAGCAUAUCAAUAAGCGGAGGA